UACGAAGGGGGCUAGCGUUGUUCGGAAUCACUGGGCGUAAAGCGCACGUAGGCGGAUCUUUAAGUCAGAGGUGAAAGCCUGGAGCUCAACUCCAGAACUGCCUUUGAUACUGGGGAUCUCGAGUCCGGGAGAGGUGAAUGGAACUGCGAGUGUAGAGGUGAAAUUCGUAGAUAUUCGCAAGAACACCAGUGGCGAAGGCGGCUCACUGGCCCGGUACUGACGCUGAGGUGCGAAAGCGUGGGGAGCAAACAGGG
RNAcentral lists this ribosomal RNA (254 nucleotides) under uncultured bacterium. Its description in RNAcentral is "partial 16S ribosomal RNA". It matches the Rfam family "Bacterial small subunit ribosomal RNA", at positions 524 to 777 of the family's 1533-position model. The record is from RNAcentral.